CCUACGGGAGGCAGCAGUGAGGAAUAUUGGUCAAUGGACGCAAGUCUGAACCAGCCAAGUCGCGUGCAGGAAGACGGCCCUAUGAGUCGUAAACUUCUUUUGUACGAGGGUAAACGCAGAUACGCGUAUCUGUCUGAAAGUAUCGUACGAAUAAGGAUCGGCGAACUCCGUGCCAGCAGCCGCGGUAAUACGGAGGAUUCAAGCGUUAUCCGGAUUUCUUUGGUUUAAAGGGUGCGUGGGCGGUCGGAUAAGUUAGAGGUGAAAUCCUGGGGCUCAACCUCGGAAUUGCCUCUGAUACUGGUCGGCUAGAGAGUAGUUGCGGUAGGCGGAAUGUGUGGUGUAGCGGUGAAAUGCUUAGAGAUCAUACAGAACACCGAUUGCGAAGGCAGCUUACC
This 395-nucleotide ribosomal RNA is filed under the name uncultured bacterium. RNAcentral's name for it is "partial 16S ribosomal RNA". It matches the Rfam family "Bacterial small subunit ribosomal RNA", at positions 338 to 730 of the family's 1533-position model. The record is from RNAcentral.